UCCCUAAUAGCUCAGUUGGUAAAGAAUCUGCCUGCAGUGCAGGAGACCCUGGUUCAAUUCCUGGGUUGGGAA
RNAcentral lists this transfer RNA (72 nucleotides) under Ovis aries (sheep). It matches the Rfam family "tRNA". Rfam says of the family: Transfer RNA (tRNA) molecules are approximately 80 nucleotides in length. Their secondary structure includes four short double-helical elements and three loops (D, anti-codon, and T loops). The record is from Rfam by way of RNAcentral. Lineage: Eukaryota; Metazoa; Chordata; Mammalia; Artiodactyla; Bovidae.